Molecule: ribosomal RNA, 1505 nt
Filed under: uncultured soil bacterium
Lineage: Bacteria
Description: bacterial SSU rRNA
Rfam family: Bacterial small subunit ribosomal RNA
Source: RNAcentral
AUUAGAGUUUGAUCCUGGCUCAGAUUGAACGCUGGCGGCAGGCUUAACACAUGCAAGUCGAGCGGAGAGAGGUAGCUUGCUACUGAUCUUAGCGGCGGACGGGUGAGUAAUGCUUAGGAAUCUGCCUAUUAGUGGGGGACAACAUUUCGAAAGGAAUGCUAAUACCGCAUACGUCCUACGGGAGAAAGCAGGGGAUCUUCGGACCUUGCGCUAAUAGAUGAGCCUAAGUCGGAUUAGCUAGUUGGUGGGGUAAAGGCCUACCAAGGCGACGAUCUGUAGCGGGUCUGAGAGGAUGAUCCGCCACACUGGGACUGAGACACGGCCCAGACUCCUACGGGAGGCAGCAGUGGGGAAUAUUGGACAAUGGGCGCAAGCCUGAUCCAGCCAUGCCGCGUGUGUGAAGAAGGCCUUAUGGUUGUAAAGCACUUUAAGCGAGGAGGAGGCUACUUUAGAUAAUACCUAGAGAUAGUGGACGUUACUCGCAGAAUAAGCACCGGCUAACUCUGUGCCAGCAGCCGCGGUAAUACAGAGGGUGCAAGCGUUAAUCGGAUUUACUGGGCGUAAAGCGCGCGUAGGCGGCUAAUUAAGUCAAAUGUGAAAUCCCCGAGCUUAACUUGGGAAUUGCAUUCGAUACUGGUUAGCUAGAGUGUGGGAGAGGAUGGUAGAAUUCCAGGUGUAGCGGUGAGAUGCGUAGAGAUCUGGAGGAAUACCGAUGGCGAAGGCAGCCAUCUGGCCUAACACUGACGCUGAGGUGCGAAAGCAUGGGGAGCAAACAGGAUUAGAUACCCUGGUAGUCCAUGCCGUAAACGAUGUCUACUAGCCGUUGGGGCCUUUGAGGCUUUAGUGGCGCAGCUAACGCGAUAAGUAGACCGCCUGGGGAGUACGGUCGCAAGACUAAAACUCAAAUGAAUUGACGGGGGCCCGCACAAGCGGUGGAGCAUGUGGUUUAAUUCGAUGCAACGCGAAGAACCUUACCUGGCCUUGACAUAGUAAGAACUUUCCAGAGAUGGAUUGGUGCCUUCGGGAACUUACAUACAGGUGCUGCAUGGCUGUCGUCAGCUCGUGUCGUGAGAUGUUGGGUUAAGUCCCGCAACGAGCGCAACCCUUUUCCUUAUUUGCCAGCGAGUAAUGUCGGGAACUUUAAGGAUACUGCCAGUGACAAACUGGAGGAAGGCGGGGACGACGUCAAGUCAUCAUGGCCCUUACGGCCAGGACUACACACGUGCUACAAUGGUCGGUACAGAGGGUUGCUACCUAGCGAUAGGAUGCUAAUCUCAAAGAGCCGAUCGUAGUCCGGAUUGGAGUCUGCAACUCGACUCCAUGAAGUCGGAAUCGCUAGUAAUCGCGGAUCAGAAUGCCGCGGUGAAUACGUUCCCGGGCCUUGUACACACCGCCCGUCACACCAUGGGAGUUUGUUGCACCAGAAGUAGCUAGCCUAACUGCAAAGAGGGCGGUUACCACGGUGUGGCCGAUGACUGGUGUGAAGGCGUAACAAGGUAACCAAU